CUAGAAUGUGUAUCAUGCUAACAGUUGAUAAUACAGGAAUUCAAGGGUGGGAAGUGGGAACUGACAUUUUCCAUUAUGGAUUCAAGAUUCCUUUUGGCCCAUUGCGAGUUGCUGGGCCGGGGUCAUUGAACCUAUUCAUGGAAUCCCAGCGUGUGGCCUGUCUCAAGCCUCAUGCAUUAUGGUGGUGUUUUGCUUGCACGGCACACAAACUGCAUAAAGAAUCCAUCUUUCUUCUUCUGAGUACUUCAAUUUUUAUUUUUAUUUUUAAUUUAAGUAUGAGGUUUGUUUUAGUGAAACCACUUUCAAUGUUGAUAUGGGUUUUCUUCAAUGGUCGUGUGCACUGCCAAAAGCCUGCUGUUACUAGUAUUGGCACUGUAUUUGAUUAUAGCUUGGUCACUGGAAGAGUUUCAAAGGCAGCCAUAAAAGCAGCAGUUGGCUGUUAAUGCUGAUCCUAGCUGCCAUGCUGAUACCAGUUACAGUGUUUUGAUGGGGUCAGUUGGAGGUUUUUUUGUUGUUCCAGCAGACACUGUACAGGGAGCAGCACAGCCUUUUCUGUGUGGAUCAGAAACUUUGAUAAUAUUACCUGGCCUGGUGGAAAUGUGGAUAAACCAUGUGGGUGUGUUGCUGCUGAUAAAAAAAAAGCCCAUCGACAAUUGGAGUGCCAAGGAGGGUUAGUUUUAGCAAAUUUGUAAUGGGAAUAUCAAACAGUCACAAAAUCAAAGGACACCGUAUGGAUAUGGAUGCAGCAAGCAAGUUGGUUUCUUAUGAAGUUCCCUAUACACUUGUGGCUAUUGCGUAUGGACAAUUCAACCUCAGGUACAAUAAGCUUGUGGAAAUGGUUGCUGAGGAUGAAUAUUGCCUCCUUAGUAAUAAAUAUCAGUAAGAUAAAAAGAAGGCUGUGUAAAAUGGUCUAAUGAUACUAAAUAUUCUUGUAAGGUAGCGUCUAUCCCAGAGGUGUCAAAAUUGGAAAAUGGUGUAUCUGUAUAUUGUUGCAUGUUUGACAGACAUAUAGUUAAUGCAUUCAGUCUCCCUUGCUAAUUCCUUUGAACUGUGUCGUUGGUUGAUUGAUGCUGUUGUUGGAGACAUUACCAUUGUAACAAGAUGUACAAAGGUGGUCGGUUUCUUUCAGCCUUACAUUUCUACUUGUCUUGUCACUAUGACAUCCAUAAAAUGUAAGAAGUGAAAUGCUUUGGUGUUUCUCCAGACCAUUUACAGUGGAGAUGUGGUGUGCUACAGCAGUUUUAUUUGAAUUCUUUGCCUUAAUUGGAGUGGUUAUUGGGCUUCUUGACCAUCAGCUGAACAACAAUCUUUCAAGCCCUCCUAAGCUUGCAACAAUCUCACUGAUUAGCUUCUCAACAAUGUUCAAAGGCAAUCAGAAUACAAAGCGGUCCUUGGAUGCAUCAUUUUUGUCUAAAGGAAACAAAGAUGCAACACAAAUUGGAAGGGUUUUAGAACCAGGUUUUAUCCUUUACCUGAUUGGUUGUAUACUACAGUUCAGUGAGUUCAUGGUAAUAUACAGAAUUAAAAGUCAUUUUUGUACAGAAUCAUUUAUGAGAGUUGGCUUAAUACAUGUUGUUGUAGCAACUUAAACUUCUUGGUCGCUUCACAUGGCAUUACAACCUCUUGUUUAUGUCUCCUACUUGUUGAGCCCUUUUGCAAGCAAGAGAAGGUUUCAUGUGAGGUGGGGUGUUAAGGCUUUAGCCCAAGUCAGCUCAAGAUACAUCAUUUAUCCAUAUCUUCAUCCCCACCUUUAUAUACAUCUGUGUAUUACAAUGUUAUUUAUUUAUUUACUAAUGGUACAUUGUUGAAUUAUUUCUGGUAUGUUUAGUUACUACUAUUUGUUGUUGUUGUCCUUGUUUUCUCUUUUUUUCUUUUGAUAUAUAUGCAUGUGGAUUUUUCAAGUACCAUAUGGUACAUUUAUGAUGGUGUAUGUUUCUGCAGGAAUUUUUGGACUCCAUAAUUUUCCUUUUGUGUUUCCUCUAUGUUUACUACUGUUAUUCAUAUUCAUGUUCAUGUUCAUGUCGUGGUGCUUUCCCAUGUGCAUAUCGAUUUGUUGAACCAUUGUCAAUGUCAACUGAAAAGGCCCUUUCACACUGGUUGCUUUCAAUUUGAUCAGUGAAAGAUUGACCCAAGCAACCACACAUGAGUGAGAGUGGACUUGUGGCAGAAAAUACAAAUUGCAGUUAAUUCUGUGAAGUCGCAGUAGGUAGAUUGAUAAGAUGCAUUAAUUAAAGCCACAUACUGACACUGCUCAUUGACCUCGUACAAAAUUUGAAGCAUACAGCAUCUGACUUCUGGUUGUGGUAUUUAAGCAUGCUUUCGUUUAAUCUGGACUUUGUGGGACAAAGAGUCCAAGCAGCUGCUUUUAUUUUCAUAGUUGAAGCUUGUUAGUUUUAGCUGUAGAACAUCAUUCGAACAUCAAGUUUGUGAUCUGCCUAGUUAACAGCUUAUAAAUGGUUUCACCCUUCUUUGGGAGAUCCAUAAUGUUCAAACAAACCUGUGGUACAUGUCUCACAGUCCAUACAACGGGUCAUAAUCAUUCAGAUUUGUGAGGGGUGCUCUGUUUAGGUUGGAGCUGUUGUUUUGGCUGGGGAACAUCAAUUGAACUUCCAAGUUUUGCGAUCUACCUAUUCAACUGCUUAUAAAAAAGGCUUCAACCAUCUUCUGUAAACUCAUAAUUUCUAAACAGAUACCUAGUACAUGUUUUCAUUUCCUUGAAUCAUAUUGACUGCAUCUGUUAUUUAGCCCUUCAACUUUAAAUGUUUCAUCUAAUCUACUGUUGAUUGUCAUUUGUUUUCAGGCUCUAGUUAAUCACCUUGUUUCUAUGACUGCAUCUAUGCUUGCAGGUUUAGUUUCUUGACAACAUUUUUUGGCUCUCAACCCCAUCACAUAUGCUUAGAUGUAACGAAAGAAACAACACCUCCGUAGUUAAUGCUCUUGUUCAACAAUUCCCAGUUAAGGAUUGGAGACAGGGCACUGCAGAAUCCAAUGUGGUUGGGUCUGAAAUAACAACCAAUUGCAAAAUAACCUGUAUUCCGUGGAUGCUACUUUAUUGGAUAUUCGUGUUGACUUUUUGGUCUAUGAACCGGCCUAGGGUCUAUUUAAAGGAUGCAUAAAUGAUAGGAGUGCGAUGGGCUUGAAGAUGUGGGAAAAAAACCAUUUGUUUGAAUUCUGAAUUAACAAUGAUAGUAUAAACCAACUUCCAAAUCUUAAACCAUGAAAACUUUUGAUGUAUCAAACACUAUUACAUGUACAGAUCAUACACCAAAUUUGAGUAGUGGAUUCAUUAUUCAACACAAUC
Vitis vinifera (wine grape) is the source of this 3301-nucleotide RNA transcript. It is a transcript of the gene named glutamate receptor 3.7, with no coding region annotated. The record is from RefSeq and is a predicted model, not a curated record. The transcript is spliced from 5 exons. Lineage: Eukaryota; Viridiplantae; Streptophyta; Magnoliopsida; Vitales; Vitaceae.